Aquimarina spongiae is the source of this 35-nucleotide regulatory RNA element. It matches the Rfam family "DUF805b RNA". Rfam says of the family: Bacteroidetes, Chlorobi (1 example), Proteobacteria. Lineage (Flavobacteria) NCBI's taxonomy places the organism in Bacteria, Pseudomonadati, Bacteroidota, Flavobacteriia, Flavobacteriales, Flavobacteriaceae. The record is from Rfam.
AAGGUGGUGUCCGAAAAACCUAAAUAGAGUAGGAG